AUGCUCUUGGAUGAAACAGAAGGAAUUUUGUAUCUAAGCUAUGAUGAGUUACCGCAUCGUCUGAAGCAGUGUUUCAUUUAUUGUGCUUUGUUUGUUGAAGAUGCUAUCAUUGACCGUGGCGUACUUAUAAAUUUAUGCAUUGCUGAAGGCUUCAUAAAAGAGCAACAAGGCCAACUACUAGAAGACAUAGCAGAAGAGUACUACUAUGAGCUAAUCCAUCGGAAUCUCCUCCAACCAGAUUAUUUACAGUUCGACCAAUCUAAAUGCAAAAUGCAUGACCUCUUGAGGCAGCUUGCUUUAAAUAUAUCAAGAGAAGAAUGUUUUAUUGGAGAUGUUGAAACAUUAGGGGGUGACAAUAUGUCGAAACUGAGACGUGUUGCUGCUGUCAUUAAGAAGGAUAUGUUAGUGUUACCUAGAGUGGAUAAGGUGGAUGUUAAGGUGAGGACUUUCCUAACUGUUAAUGGUCCAUGGAAAAUCAAGGAUACAUUGUUCAAGAGAUUUUUGCUUCUUCGUGUUUUGGUACUGAAUUGCUCGCUUGUACAAAGCAUUCCAGACUAUAUAGGAAAACUAAUACAUCUGCGCCUACUUAAUCUAGAUUAUACUGGCAUAUCUUGUCUUCCAGAAUCCAUUGGCUCCCUAAAGAACCUUUUGGUAUUGAGCUUGAGAUGGUGUCAUGAUCUGCACAAUCUCCCUUUCGCAGUGACCAUGUUGAGCAAUUUAAGAUGCCUUGAACUUUACACAACAAUAAACCAAGUUCCAAAAGGGUUAGGAAAACUGAAGUUACUCACUAGUUUAACAAAUUAUCCUGUUGGUGAUGGAGGUGAUAAUGCUGUCGUACAAGAUGGAUGA
Molecule: ribosomal RNA, 849 nt
Filed under: Triticum aestivum (bread wheat)
Lineage: Eukaryota; Viridiplantae; Streptophyta; Magnoliopsida; Poales; Poaceae
Description: partial small subunit ribosomal RNA
Source: RNAcentral